RNAcentral lists this ribosomal RNA (253 nucleotides) under uncultured bacterium. RNAcentral's name for it is "partial 16S ribosomal RNA". It matches the Rfam family "Bacterial small subunit ribosomal RNA", at positions 524 to 776 of the family's 1533-position model. The record is from RNAcentral.
UACGGAGGGUGCAAGCGUUAUCCGGAUUCACUGGGUUUAAAGGGUGCGUAGGCGGCUAUGUAAGUCAGGAGUGAAAGUUUGCGGCUCAACCGUAAAAUUGCUUUUGAUACUGCAUGGCUAGAAUUAGGAUGAGGUCAGCGGAAUGUGGCAUGUAGCGGUGAAAUGCAUAGAUAUGCCAUAGAACACCAAUUGCGAAGGCAGCUGGCUAGACCUGGAUUGACGCUGAGGCACGAAAGCGUGGGGAGCGAACAGG